This 589-nucleotide long non-coding RNA is filed under the name Salvia miltiorrhiza (redroot sage). Its description in RNAcentral is "long non-coding RNA (SMIL_LNC005501)". The record is from RNAcentral. Lineage: Eukaryota; Viridiplantae; Streptophyta; Magnoliopsida; Lamiales; Lamiaceae.
CGGAUGGCACCCUUGAGAAGAAUUUUGUAACAAGAUCAUCAUUCUUGAUAUCAUUCAUGGAGAUGUCAUCCAUCUGAGGGUUUUGGAUGACGUUGAGUAAAUUUGAUGCAUGAGAUUCUCUUCAUCGCUUGCCCUGCCUCCAUCUCUCUCUCUCUCCGAUGAAGGUUUUAUUUAUAUAUAAUGAUUUCCACAAAAUGAUGAAUCAGCGACAUCAGCUAUUGGGAUUCACCAGAAAUCCUCUUAUGCUUCCUGGAUAAGAAAAUACGCAUUGCUCACUCAAAUUCUUUCCAAAAAUUCUUCCCAGAAAAAUUGAAUACCUAAAUUAACAAGAAUCAAACCCACACAAAUUAAUUGAUAAAACUGAAUUAAAAAAAAUAAAAAUAAAGCAGUAAUACCCAGUUCACAGAACCAUCAAUUACAUCAAGAAUUUACAUAAAAAUAGUUUAGAAAAAGAUAAAAAAGAAAGCAAGGGACUAUCAAAUUCGAUUGAUUGAAUUUAUGAAUCUGAAUGAGUCGACUUAAUUUCUUGUCGACAAUGAUUCCGCAACCAAGAAGUUCUUAAUAAAACACGAAGACAAUCAAAUCAAAU